Molecule: ribosomal RNA, 591 nt
Filed under: uncultured bacterium
Lineage: Bacteria
Description: partial 16S ribosomal RNA
Rfam family: Bacterial small subunit ribosomal RNA
Source: RNAcentral
UGGGGAAUUUUGGACAAUGGGCGAAAGCCUGAUCCAGCAAUGCCGCGUGUGUGAAGAAGGCCUUCGGGUUGUAAAGCACUUUUGUCCGGAAAGAAAUCCUUGGCUCUAAUACAGUCGGGGGAUGACGGUACCGGAAGAAUAAGCACCGGCUAACUACGUGCCAGCAGCCGCGGUAAUACGUAGGGUGCAAGCGUUAAUCGGAAUUACUGGGCGUAAAGCGUGCGCAGGCGGUUUGCUAAGACCGAUGUGAAAUCCCCGGGCUCAACCUGGGAAACUGCAUUGGGUGACUGGCAGGCUAGAGUAUGGCAGAGGGGGGUAGAAUUCCACGUGUAGCAGUGAAAUGCGUAGAGAUGUGGAGGAAUACCGAUGGCGAAGGCAGCCCCCUGGGCCAAAUACUGACGCUCAUGCACGAAAGCGUGGGGGAGCAAAACAGGAUUAGAUACCCUGGUAGUCUACGCCCUAAAACGAUGUCAACUAGUUGUUGGGGAUUCAUUUCCUUAGUAACGUAGCUAACGCGUGAAGUUGACCGCCUGGGGAGUACGGUCGCAAGAUUAAAACUCAAAGGAAUUGACGGGGUCAUAGCUGUUUCCU